Molecule: long non-coding RNA, 526 nt
Filed under: Elaeis guineensis (African oil palm)
Lineage: Eukaryota; Viridiplantae; Streptophyta; Magnoliopsida; Arecales; Arecaceae
Description: long non-coding RNA (EGUI_LNC046129)
Source: RNAcentral
CCUCCUCUUCUGGUUUGACUUCUUCCUGAUAAGGAUCAACUUCAAUUCAAAUGUAACUUGAAUUUGAAUUGAUCCUUAUCAGGUUAGGGCAUUGGAAUAGAUUGAAAUGAUGUUUGGGUGACAUUAAAAGAGGCAGAGAUGUGGGGCGUGCGAGAGAUGAGAUCUAGCUUGAGCUCCUUAUCAGCUUCUUCCAUCUCCAUGCCAACUUCCUUCUUCUCCAUGCCCUACCAUCUCCUUCUGCUCAGAUUAGAUCAGAGUGAGAAAAUUUAGAGAGAGAAGAAGAGAAGAAAAAAGAUUUUCUUCUCUUUCAGGUAUCCUAGUGAAGAUCUCAUCAGUUCAGCACGAAGAGUUUGUGCUGCAGCCUUCUUCUUCGAGAUCUAAAAGAAGAAGUCCAAAUCUAAAUUUAGAAGUGAGGCCUGCAAGGUACUAGUACUCCAGUGGCUUCAGUGCUUCAAUCAGAUCAUCUCAAUGUGAUAUCAGUAAAGGUCGGACACUUUCGCGGCUCCAACAGAAACUUCGGACAUCC